Molecule: long non-coding RNA, 913 nt
Organism: Oryza sativa Japonica Group (Japanese rice)
Lineage: Eukaryota; Viridiplantae; Streptophyta; Magnoliopsida; Poales; Poaceae
Source: RefSeq, a predicted model, not a curated record
AAUAAAACGAACAAUCCAAUAUGUUUUGAAAAGUCAACAGCGUCAAAUAUUUAGAGACGGAGCGAAUACUAUCUAAAAUAACUUUCCCCUCCCGUCUCUCUCGGUGCCUCCUCUGAGAGGUGACUUUCAGUGCGACGUAGAGUUUUCCCCUCCGGAUUCCCUCUCCGUCUCCGGUGGUCUUUGGCCGCCGGCGAGGGGAUGAGGGGUCCGAGGGAUAGUCGGGCUCAUCCCGUAGUCAGGUCGGAGUUCUCCAGAUCCACAUAGGAGAGGUUGCGCCGGCUGUUCAAGAAUUCUCCAGCAAGAAAAUACACAAGAAUGGUGUUCUUCUCCUUCGGCAUCGAUGUCGGAUUUACAAGGGGCGGCUGUGAUUUAUUUGUUUGGCCAAGGUAGCUUCAACCUCCAUCACGGAGGUCCCGACUGGGUUUGCUCCUCGGCUCAAUCAUUUGUAGCUUGCCAUGCUAUCAUCUCCGUCGUUGUGGGCAGUGGGCACAAGUUGGAUCAUUGCUCUUGUGAAAGAGGCAGAUGAAGGACCCGAUUGCCUUUUCCUUUUCUUUUCAAGUCCUUUUCUGCAAUCUGCAUGUUCUAAAGUUAAUUUGCUCAUCUUACAGGGUACUUUCCGCAAACUGGAUCUACUCCCAGUUCCUAUGUUCCCUCGUGUACCAUGUACUUAAGCUCACUAGAAGAGUAUAAGUGCAUGCUGGGACACGCCGCGCACAGAAAUUGGCUCGAACAAAAUUACCAUGAAGCACAAGCACAUGCUAAAUAUUGUUGACUGAAUGUUUCUAGUUUCACUUAACCAUAGCCAUGGGACUUGUAAAUUGGAAUUAGAAUCAUUUAGGUCAAUAUACAUGGAAAACCAUGAUUUCAAACAGUUAUAAUACUAAAUUAUCAUGUGUUAACCUUUUUAGACUCA